This 253-nucleotide ribosomal RNA is filed under the name uncultured bacterium. RNAcentral's name for it is "partial 16S ribosomal RNA". It matches the Rfam family "Bacterial small subunit ribosomal RNA", at positions 524 to 776 of the family's 1533-position model. The record is from RNAcentral.
UACGUAGGUGGCAAGCGUUGUCAGGAAUUAUUGGGCGUAAAGCGCGCGCAGGCGGUCCUUUAAGUCUGAUGUGAAAGCCCACGGCUCAACCGUGGAGGGUCAUUGGAAACUGGGGGACUUGAGUACAGAAGAGGAAAGCGGAAUUCCACGUGUAGCGGUGAAAUGCGUAGAGAUGUGGAGGAACACCAGUGGCGAAGGCGGCUUUCUGGUCUGUAACUGACGCUGAGGCGCGAAAGCGUGGGGAGCAAACAGG